This 273-nucleotide ribosomal RNA is filed under the name uncultured Bacillus sp. RNAcentral's name for it is "partial 16S ribosomal RNA". It matches the Rfam family "Bacterial small subunit ribosomal RNA", at positions 641 to 912 of the family's 1533-position model. The record is from RNAcentral. Lineage: Bacteria; Bacillati; Bacillota; Bacilli; Caryophanales; Bacillaceae.
CUUGAGUGCGGAAGAGGAGAGUGGAAUUCCACGUGUAGCGGUGAAAUGCGUAGAGAUGUGGAGGAACACCAGUGGCGAAGGCGGCUUUCUGGUCUGUAACUGACGCUGAGGCGCGAAAGCGUGGGGAGCAAACAGGAUUAGAUACCCUGGUAGUCCACGCCGUAAACGAUGAGUGCUAAGUGUUAGAGGGUUUCCGCCCUUUAGUGCUGCAGCUAACGCAUUAAGCACUCCGCCUGGGGAGUACGGCCGCAAGACUGAAACUCAAAGGAAUUG